AAACCAACAGGGAUUGCCUCAGUAGCGGCGAGUGAAGCGGCAAAAGCUCAGAUUUGAAAUCGUGUUUCGGCACGAGUUGUAGAUUGCAGGUUGGAGUCUUUGUGGAAGCGUGUGUCUAAGUCCCUUGGAACAGGGUGCCAUUGAGGGUGAGAGCCGUCAGACGCGUGCGGAAGCUGUAAGGCCCUUCUGACGAGUCGAGUUGUUUGGGAAUGCAGCUCUAAGUGGGUGGUAAAUUCCAUCUAAGGCUAAAUAUUGGCGAGAGACCGAUAGCGAACAAGUACUGUGAAGGAAAGAUGAAAAGCACUUUGAAAAGAGAGUGAAACAGCACGUGAAAUUGUUGAAAGGGAAGGGUAUUGGGCUCGACAUGGGAUUUGCGCACCGCUGCUCCUUGUGGGCGGCGCUCUGUGCUUUUCCUGGGCCAGCAUCGGUUUUUGCCGCAGGAGAAGGCGUGCUGGAAUGUGGCUCUUCGGAGUGUUAUAGCCAGUGCGAGAUGCUGCGUGCGGGGACCGAGGACUGCGACAUCUGUCUCGGAUGCUGGCACAACGGCGCAAUACCG
This 556-nucleotide ribosomal RNA is filed under the name Pichia occidentalis. RNAcentral describes it as "eukaryotic LSU rRNA". It matches the Rfam family "Eukaryotic large subunit ribosomal RNA", at positions 62 to 647 of the family's 3401-position model. The record is from RNAcentral. Lineage: Eukaryota; Fungi; Ascomycota; Pichiomycetes; Pichiales; Pichiaceae.